GUCAAAGUCCAGGCACAGUAUCAAACACAGAGUGGCAGAUUAGUAGCAAACAUAUCCAAAUGAGGGACAAAUGGGAAUAUCCAAAUAAACAGGCAAAAGGCUGGGUUAAUGUAUUGAACUACGAUUCUGUCAGAUGAAGCAUCCUGGGUGGGCAAAAGUGACCAUGGUUUCUGUCACUUCCAUGUUGGACAUGGCAGAAGGGGUGAGGUGGAGCUGGUUUAUGGAUGUAUCACUUGGUGUUCACGCAGAGCCAAACAGAAGGCAGGCCAUGAGCUGUAAUAAGACCUGCCAAAGGUGGAGUUAGAUAAUGAGGAGCUUCAUGCCAGCCCUGUACAGAGAGCGGCAGGUGAGAAGCAAUUAGAGAG
Molecule: long non-coding RNA, 365 nt
Organism: Ictalurus punctatus (channel catfish)
Lineage: Eukaryota; Metazoa; Chordata; Actinopteri; Siluriformes; Ictaluridae
Source: Ensembl